GUCCCUUUGGGGUCAUCAAAAAAAUUGGAAUGAUAUAGAGAAGAUUAGCGUGGCCCCUGCACAAGGAUGACUCGCACAGAAGCAUUCGUUUGCUCUAAUAUU
Small nuclear RNA from Coffea eugenioides, 102 nucleotides. The record is from RefSeq and is a predicted model, not a curated record. NCBI's taxonomy places the organism in Eukaryota, Viridiplantae, Streptophyta, Magnoliopsida, Gentianales, Rubiaceae.